Molecule: small nuclear RNA, 101 nt
Organism: Ochotona princeps (American pika)
Lineage: Eukaryota; Metazoa; Chordata; Mammalia; Lagomorpha; Ochotonidae
Source: Ensembl
CUGCUCGCUUCGGCAGCACAUAUAUUAAAAUUGGAACGAUACAGAGAAGAUUAGCAUGGCCCCUGCGCAAGGAAGUCAGCACUGUGGUGCAGCAAAUUAAG